RNAcentral lists this non-coding RNA (31 nucleotides) under Homo sapiens (human). Lineage: Eukaryota; Metazoa; Chordata; Mammalia; Primates; Hominidae. The record is from RNAcentral.
UGUGCAAGCCCACAACCACACCUGUGAGUAA